This 80-nucleotide transfer RNA is filed under the name marine eukaryotic metagenome. It matches the Rfam family "tRNA". Rfam says of the family: Transfer RNA (tRNA) molecules are approximately 80 nucleotides in length. The record is from RNAcentral.
CGGGAUGGCGGAAUGGUAGACGCGGCGGACUUAAAAUCCGCUGUUAGAAAUAACGUGUGGGUUCGAGUCCCUCUCCCGGC